UUUUUUUGCGGUGGUGGGGUAGGCACCGGCCAGUUUUUCUGCGUCUUGGAAGUGGCAACCCUACCUCAGAGAUGGAAGGUGAUGUGUAAGGAGGAAGAUUUUUCAUGCAAGAAUUUUAUGGACAAACAUUUGCAGAACAUUUAGUGGAGGGAUAUCUUCUAUUGCCAUAAUGGAUGAUGGCUUUCUUUAGGGAGCCUAUCAAUGUACUUUGCCUUUUCAUUGUUUCUCCACAGCAUGUGUUUAAAUCAUUAAAUGAAUAACCCCACCCCCUUCAUCCUUAUGUGGCCAGCAGGAACAAGAGAACUCCAACACCACCUACUCGUAGGACAAAACAAAAGAUAGGAAAACAAAGAACCCAAACCAAUAUUUUGCAACUUCUUCAUUGCAACUCAAUAUGAAGCAACUAUACAUCAUUUCUGCCAUUAUGUGGAGCUGUGUGAAAAUAUAAAUUAGCAGCACUGGGUAUGUGCAGUAACAUGAUUCCAAGAUGGUGUAUUCCAGCAGUGAGCAAGUGGUGGUAGUUUCUCCUGAGAUACAGCAGAAGCUCAGAACAGUAGCUCCCUAAGGAGCUGCCAGCAAAGGAUUUUACAUGCAGCAGUUGUCUUGGAACAGAAAUGCCAUUUACCUCAGCUGUGGAAAGAAAUAUCCAAGAGAUGGCAGUGGUGGGGAGGCACAAGAUAGAGGUGGACUGAGCUAAUGCAAAGACCAGCACUUACCAAUUCCCAGCAGCUUGAGGGGACUUGAAGGGCCUCAAGCCAUGGCUUGAAGAAACAAGAAGAAGGCUGUCAAAGUUUCUCACGUUUGGAAAGGCUGUGAGCAUGAAAUGCUUCCUGGUCUUUCAGCAUGCAGGUAGUAAGGAAAAUGUAGCAAAAUGUAGCAAAAUCUGAUAGGCUUUUCUGGCUGCAUCUGAGUUUAAUAUUAACAGUCAUCAGUUAACUUGAAUUGAUGUCCACCUUUUUUGUGAUUUAUUUGGCAGUUUGCUCUUAGCCCAAGGUAUGAUUUCCAGCUCUGACACAGAGAAACAAAGCUUUUCAUUUCACUUCAAAGACCAUUAAAAUCAGUACGGGGAAUGGAUUUGCAACACUAGUUGUCAACUGCUUCAACAAAUAGACCAAGACUU
This 1120-nucleotide long non-coding RNA is filed under the name Chrysemys picta bellii (western painted turtle). Its description in RNAcentral is "lncRNA (ENSCPBG00000020213.1)". The record is from RNAcentral. Lineage: Eukaryota; Metazoa; Chordata; Testudines; Emydidae.